AAAAAUUUAGUUAACCACAUAACAUUAGCUUGUCAAGCUGAAAUAACUCAUGUAAGAGUAAUUUUUG
RNAcentral lists this transfer RNA (67 nucleotides) under Bubas bison. Its description in RNAcentral is "tRNA-Asp". The record is from RNAcentral. Lineage: Eukaryota; Metazoa; Arthropoda; Insecta; Coleoptera; Scarabaeidae.